CCCUUAGAUGUCCUGGGCCGCACGCGCGCUACACUGAGUGUCUGAGAUACGAGUCUGCCUGGUCCGGCAAGGUCUAGGUAAUCGCUAAAAGACACAUCAUGCUUGGGAUAGAUUAUUGCAAAUAUUAAUCUUGAACGAGGAAUUCCUAGUAAGCGCAAGUCAACAGCUUGCGUUGAUUACGUCCCUGCCCUUUGUACACACCGCCCGUCGCUACUACUGCUUGGAUGUUUAAGCGAGGUUCUCGAACUGCUAGCGACUUAGCUUCGGUGAGGUCGCAGUGUGGGAAGUGAACCUAGCUUUGGUGUCUAGAGGAAGUAAAAGUCGUAACA
Molecule: ribosomal RNA, 329 nt
Filed under: uncultured eukaryote
Lineage: Eukaryota
Description: partial 18S ribosomal RNA
Rfam family: Eukaryotic small subunit ribosomal RNA
Source: RNAcentral